This 245-nucleotide ribosomal RNA is filed under the name uncultured Prevotella sp. RNAcentral describes it as "partial 16S ribosomal RNA". It matches the Rfam family "Bacterial small subunit ribosomal RNA", at positions 524 to 768 of the family's 1533-position model. Lineage: Bacteria; Pseudomonadati; Bacteroidota; Bacteroidia; Bacteroidales; Prevotellaceae. The record is from RNAcentral.
UACGGAAGGUCCGGGCGUUAUCCGGAUUUAUUGGGUUUAAAGGGAGCGCAGGCUGAUGCUUAAGCGUGACGUGAAAUGCCGCGGCUCAACCGUGGAAGUGCGUCGCGAACUGGGUAUCUUGAGUGAGUUCGACGUGUGCGGAAUUCGUGGUGUAGCGGUGAAAUGCUUAGAUAUCACGAAGAACCCCGAUUGCGAAGGCAGCGCACGAGGCCUCAACUGACGCUAAAGCUCGAAGGUGCGGGUAU